RNAcentral lists this ribosomal RNA (484 nucleotides) under uncultured bacterium. RNAcentral describes it as "partial 16S ribosomal RNA". It matches the Rfam family "Bacterial small subunit ribosomal RNA", at positions 30 to 507 of the family's 1533-position model. The record is from RNAcentral.
AUUGAACGCUGGCGGCAGGCCUAACACAUGCAAGUCGAGCGGAUGAAGGGAGCUUGCUCCUGGAUUCAGCGGCGGACGGGUGAGUAAUGCCUAGGAAUCUGCCUGGUAGUGGGGGAUAACGUCCGGAAACGGGCGCUAAUACCGCAUACGUCCUGAGGGAGAAAGUGGGGGAUCUUCGGACCUCACGCUAUCAGAUGAGCCUAGGUCGGAUUAGCUAGUUGGUGGGGUAAAGGCCUACCAAGGCGACGAUCCGUAACUGGUCUGAGAGGAUGAUCAGUCACACUAGAACUGGAACACGGUCCAGACUCCUACGGGAGGCAGCAGUGGGGAACAUUGGACAAUGGUCGAAAGCCUGAUCCAGCCAUGCCGAGUGUGUUGAGAAAGUCUUCGGAUUGUAAAGCACUUUUUGUUGUGAGGAAGGGCAGUAAGUUAAUACCUUGCUGUUUUGACGGUACCGACAGAAUAAGCACCGGCUAACUUCGUG